Molecule: non-coding RNA, 30 nt
Filed under: Mus musculus (house mouse)
Lineage: Eukaryota; Metazoa; Chordata; Mammalia; Rodentia; Muridae
Source: RNAcentral
UACAUACACAGAUGGGGCGCUCUGUCCAGG